CCUGGAGGUGGAUCAGGACGCCGCAUCUGCCGCACUGAAGGUGCAGCCCUUCGAGUUCGGCUUCCCGCUCCGGCC
This 75-nucleotide transfer RNA is filed under the name Methylobacterium sp. RNAcentral describes it as "tRNA-Phe". RNAcentral also lists the same sequence under 1 other name. Lineage: Bacteria; Pseudomonadati; Pseudomonadota; Alphaproteobacteria; Hyphomicrobiales; Methylobacteriaceae. The record is from RNAcentral.